UGGCGUGAAAUGGAGGCAUCAGGACACACGUCGCCUGCCGUGUAUUAAUACGGGAUGGAUGGCUUACCCCGCACCUUUGACAAAUGCAGCCCCGAAUGUGUCUCACUCCCUGCACCUGCGUGGAAUUGAAAAAUCUUGGCGUAGAAUGUAAGGUCACGAAGAGAAUGAUCAAAGAAUUGAGAUAAUUUAGCCUGAAGAAAGAAAGCCUGAGGACUGAUUGAACUUUUAAAAGAUCAUGCAGAGAACAGCCACUUCCAAAUUCUUUAAAGAUGCUGAAAUUGGAAACCAGGAAUUAUAUAACUAAUGCUGCUUCAUAAACCUGGGAUCUGUCACUUGCUAACUUGAGCCCUUCCCUGGAGAGAUCAGUGGAUUUGUCCUCUGCUGAAGAUAUGCCAGUUGCAGUCCACAGCGAGCGAGUGGUUGAAAAGAGAUGCAAACUGACCUUGAACAUGCUUGGUGUCUACACCCGUAUUUAUAGUGAGAAUAUGAACACCAUGAGUCCAGAGAUUUGUGUAUCUGCCUGUUCAAGUAUGUAACCCCUGG
Molecule: long non-coding RNA, 543 nt
Organism: Orcinus orca (killer whale)
Lineage: Eukaryota; Metazoa; Chordata; Mammalia; Artiodactyla; Delphinidae
Exons: 5
Source: RefSeq, a predicted model, not a curated record